GCACGCUCCGCACCUGGCAGCCGACGAGAUCGACAUCGAGGACGAACUCGCCGCCGACGAGCCUGAUGCCCACGCAGAGGACUAUCCGUCCACACUGUCGCUGCGUGACCUCGGGCCUCCGCUCGGCCGAAAGCGGUCAUGCCGAAGCCGGUGCAACCGGUUCCCUUGAACGGGCCAUCCGGUGCCGAGGCCUAUGCUCCGCCGAAUAUC
This 210-nucleotide unclassified non-coding RNA is filed under the name Hevea brasiliensis (rubber tree). The record is from RNAcentral. Lineage: Eukaryota; Viridiplantae; Streptophyta; Magnoliopsida; Malpighiales; Euphorbiaceae.